RNAcentral lists this ribosomal RNA (79 nucleotides) under Paracoccus denitrificans. RNAcentral's name for it is "16S rRNA. Bacterial SSU". It matches the Rfam family "Bacterial small subunit ribosomal RNA", at positions 1 to 77 of the family's 1533-position model. The record is from RNAcentral. Lineage: Bacteria; Pseudomonadati; Pseudomonadota; Alphaproteobacteria; Rhodobacterales; Paracoccaceae.
UUCAACUUGAGAGUUUGAUCCUGGCUCAGAACGAACGCUGGCGGCAGGCCUAACACAUGCAAGUCGAGCGAACCCUUCG